UACGUAUGGUGCAAGCGUUAUCCGGAUUUACUGGGUGUAAAGGGAGCGUAGACGGCUGUGUAAGUCUGAAGUGAAAACCCGGGGCUCAACCCCGGGACUGCUUUGGAAACUAUGCAGCUAGAGUGUCGGAGAGGUAAGUGGAAUUCCCAGUGUAGCGGUGAAAUGCGUAGAUAUUGGGAGGAACACCAGUGGCGAAGGCGGCUUACUGGACGAUGACUGACGUUGAGGCUCGAAAGCGUGGGGAGCAAACAGG
RNAcentral lists this ribosomal RNA (253 nucleotides) under Coprococcus comes ATCC 27758. RNAcentral describes it as "partial 16S ribosomal RNA". It matches the Rfam family "Bacterial small subunit ribosomal RNA", at positions 524 to 776 of the family's 1533-position model. Lineage: Bacteria; Bacillati; Bacillota; Clostridia; Lachnospirales; Lachnospiraceae. The record is from RNAcentral.